UCAGAUGUCUGUACUGUUACUGAGUCC
RNAcentral lists this non-coding RNA (27 nucleotides) under Homo sapiens (human). The record is from RNAcentral. Lineage: Eukaryota; Metazoa; Chordata; Mammalia; Primates; Hominidae.